RNAcentral lists this ribosomal RNA (368 nucleotides) under uncultured bacterium. Its description in RNAcentral is "bacterial SSU rRNA". It matches the Rfam family "Bacterial small subunit ribosomal RNA", at positions 527 to 896 of the family's 1533-position model. The record is from RNAcentral.
GAAGGGGGCUAGCGUUGUUCGGAUUUACUGGGCGUAAAGCGCACGUAGGCGGAUCGUUAAGUCGGGGGUGAAAUCCUGGAGCUCAACUCCAGAACUGCCUUCGAUACUGGCGAUCUUGAGUCCGGAAGAGGUGAGUGGAACUCCUAGUGUAGAGGUGGAAUUCGUAGAUAUUAGGAAGAACACCAGUGGCGAAGGCGGCUCACUGGUCCGGUACUGACGCUGAGGUGCGAAAGCGUGGGAGCAAACAGGAUUAGAUACCCUGGUAGUCCACGCCGUAAACUAUGAGAGCUAGCCGUUGGGGAGUUUACUCCUCAGUGGCGCAGCUAACGCAUUAAGCUCUCCGCCUGGGGAGUACGGUCGCAAGAUUA